CGGACGGGUGAGUAACACGUGGAUAACCUACCUAUAAGACUGGGAUAACUUCGGGAAACCGGAGCUAAUACCGGAUAAUAUAUUGAACCGCAUGGUUCAAUAGUGAAAGACGGUUUUGCUGUCACUUAUAGAUGGAUCCGCGCCGCAUUAGCUAGUUGGUAAGGUAACGGCUUACCAAGGCAACGAUGCGUAGCCGACCUGAGAGGGUGAUCGGCCACAUUGGGACUGAGAUACGGCCCAG
Molecule: ribosomal RNA, 241 nt
Filed under: uncultured Staphylococcus sp.
Lineage: Bacteria; Bacillati; Bacillota; Bacilli; Caryophanales; Staphylococcaceae
Description: partial 16S ribosomal RNA
Rfam family: Bacterial small subunit ribosomal RNA
Source: RNAcentral